UGGGGAAUCUUGCACAAUGGGGGAAACCCUGAUGCAGCGACGCCGCGUGAACGAUAAAGCCCUUCGGGGUGUAAAGUUCUUUCGACAGGAACGAUAAUGACGGUACCUGGAGAAGAAGCUGCGGCUAACUACGUGCCAGCAGCCGCGGUAAUACGUAGGCAGCGAGCGUUGUUCGGAGUUACUGGGCGUAAAGAGUGCGUAGGCGGCGAGCCAAGUUUGGUGUGAAAUCUCCCGGCUUAACCGGGAGGGUGCGCCGAAAACUGGUUGGCUGGAGUAUGGGAGAGGAAAGCGGAAUUCCUGGUGUGGCGGUAAAAUGCGUAGAUAUCAGGAGGAACACCUGCGGUGUAGACAGCUUUCUGGACCAAAACUGACGCUGAGGCACGAAAGCGUGGGUAGCAAACA
Molecule: ribosomal RNA, 402 nt
Filed under: uncultured bacterium
Lineage: Bacteria
Description: bacterial SSU rRNA
Rfam family: Bacterial small subunit ribosomal RNA
Source: RNAcentral